Molecule: transfer RNA, 77 nt
Filed under: Gammaproteobacteria bacterium
Lineage: Bacteria; Pseudomonadati; Pseudomonadota; Gammaproteobacteria
Also listed under: 4 other names
Description: tRNA-Arg
Rfam family: tRNA
About the family: Transfer RNA (tRNA) molecules are approximately 80 nucleotides in length. Their secondary structure includes four short double-helical elements and three loops (D, anti-codon, and T loops).
Source: RNAcentral
GCGCUCGUAGCUCAGUCGGAUAGAGCACCGGAUUCCUAAUCCGGGGGUCGCAGGUUCGAAUCCUGCCGGGCGCGCCA